Microtus ochrogaster (prairie vole) is the source of this 409-nucleotide long non-coding RNA. RefSeq lists it as uncharacterized. NCBI's taxonomy places the organism in Eukaryota, Metazoa, Chordata, Mammalia, Rodentia, Cricetidae. The transcript is spliced from 2 exons. The record is from RefSeq and is a predicted model, not a curated record.
CUUCAUUUUUCUUUUGUUCUAUUUUCUUUUUCUUUUUUAAAAGAAAAAGAACACAAGACUGAAUAUCAUCAACAGCAAUAUGUGCAGAACAAGCCAUGUCUGUAAGGGGCAAACUUCAGUGAAGUAGCCACUUUCCCCUUUGCAUAAGGUUUGCAUUGAUGUGUGUGGGAGCUGAGGUGAGUGUGCAUGGAGCUGAGGUGAGUGUGCAUGGAGCUGAGGUGAGUGUGCGUGGAGCUGAGUGUGCAUGGAGCUGAGGUGAGUGUGUGUGGAGCUGAGUGUGCAUGGAGCUGAGCUGAGUGUGCAUGGAGCUGAGGUGAGUGUGUGUGGAAGUGGCAGACUGACAACUUAUUCUGUCUAGGAAAUGGUGUGAAGGUCGAGUGCUUAAUAACCGGGCCAAACACAUUCAUCU